CCUCGGGUGGCAGCAGUGGGGAAUAUUGGACAAUGGGCGAAAGCCUGAUCCAGCCAUGCCGCGUGUGUGAAGAAGGCCUUCGGGUUGUAAAGCACUUUCAGUGGGGAAGAAAGCCUUGGGGCUAAUACCCUCGAGGAAGGACAUCACCCACAGAAGAAGCACCGGCUAACUCCGUGCCAGCAGCCGCGGUAAUACGGAGGGUGCGAGCGUUAAUCGGAAUUACUGGGCGUAAAGCGCGCGUAGGCGGUCUGAUAAGCCGGUUGUGAAAGCCCCGGGCUCAACCUGGGAACGGCAUCCGGAACUGUCAGGCUAGAGUGCAGGAGAGGAAGGUAGAAUUCCCGGUGUAGCAGUGAAAUGCGUAGAGAGCGGGAGGAAUACCAGUGGCGAAGGCGGCCUUCUGGACUGACACUGACGCUGAGGUGCGAAAGCGUGGGUAGCAAACAGGAUUAGAUACCCUAGUAGUC
Molecule: ribosomal RNA, 464 nt
Filed under: Vreelandella stevensii
Lineage: Bacteria; Pseudomonadati; Pseudomonadota; Gammaproteobacteria; Oceanospirillales; Halomonadaceae
Description: partial 16S ribosomal RNA
Rfam family: Bacterial small subunit ribosomal RNA
Source: RNAcentral